UACGGAGGAUCCGAGCGUUAUCCGGAUUUAUUGGGUUUAAAGGGUGCGCAGGCGGAAGAUUAAGUCGGUGGUGAAAUUUUGCAGCUCAACUGUAAAAGUGCCAUUGAUACUGGUUUUCUCGAGUGUGGAUGAAGUAGGCGGAAUUUGUGGUGUAGCGGUGAAAUGCAUAGAUAUCACGAGGAACUCCGAUUGCGCAGGCAGCUUACUAAACCAUAACUGACGCUCAGGCACGAAGGCGUGGGGAUCAAACAGGAUUAGAUA
Molecule: ribosomal RNA, 261 nt
Filed under: uncultured prokaryote
Description: partial 16S ribosomal RNA
Rfam family: Bacterial small subunit ribosomal RNA
Source: RNAcentral